CGAAGUGUGUGAAGUGCAGCCUGAAAAUGAUCUUGGGUAGGAGAUUGCAUAAAUUGACUCAAAGAUUGCACAACAAAAGACAAAUCUGGGCAAGAGUGGGUUAGAAAGUUAAGCUUGCCCACCAAAUGCCGAUAUGUUGAAGUAUCAGAAAGAGGAACACCAGAAGCAGAGGUAAGUUUGAGCGAUGAGUCCAGAGGAGCAGAGACUGGUCUGGAAUGAAGGCAGUUAAAAUCCAACAGUAACUUAAUAGCAAAUUUACGCUGGGAGACAAUGAGGCCAUCAGACUCGCGAAGUAAUUCCAUCCCAAGGAAAUAAUGAGCAAAUCCCAGAUCCUUGAUACGAAAUUCAGAAUCCAAAAACUUCUUAAGGUCAAGUAUCUCAAUAGGACUGUUCCCUGUGAGGAGAAAAUUGUCUACAUAAACAGUGAUAAGCAUAGAAAAACAUCCCUGGUGCUUGUAAAAUAGAGAGUAAUCAUUUAGCGACACAAUAAAACCCGAGACACAAGGGCAGUAGAGAGGCGAGCGUACUAUUGGCGUGAAGACUGCUUAAGGCCAUACAAGGAUUUACGGAGUCGACAAACAUGAUGAGGAGAAGGAAGAGACAUUCCAGAAGGUGGCCUCAUGAACACCUCUUCAUCUAAAUCACCGUGAAAAAAAAGCGUUAUUGACAUCCAACUGAAGUAGAGGCCAAUCACGCUUAAUAGCGACACUAAGGAUGCACCGGAUAGUAGUAAUCUUAACUACAGGUGAGAAUGUCUCUGUGUAGUCAAUACCCUCUCUCUGAAUGUCACCCUGAAUUACCAAUCGAGCUUUUAGACGCUCAACAGAACCAUCAGACUUAGUCUUAAACUUGUAAAUCCAUUUGCAGGGUAAAAUCUUCUUUCCAGGAGGGAGCUCAACCAAAUCCCAAGUUCUAUUAGUCUCUAGAGCUUCGAAUUCUUUGGCCAUUGCAUCCUGCCAACCUGGAUGGAGAGUUGCCUGAUGGUACGUGGAAGGUUCUUGGACAUGGGUAAGGUGUUGAGGAUAUUCUGAUUUUGGGUGGAUAAAGCAGUAAAAGAAAAGGAAUGUAAACAGGCAACAAUAGGGGAAGGAGAUGGAGAAGCUGUGUUGCACAUAUAUUCACUUAAGUAUCCAGGUGUGUGCCUUACUCUGAUGGACCUCCGUAGUGUUGGACUCGCGACAACAUGAGAAGGAGAAAUAGCAAGUGGAGAAGGUAUAGGAACAGACAAGGAUGAUGCAGUAGAUGUAGGAGAUGUGGGAGAUGUAGGAGAGGUGGGAGAUGUAGGAGGGGAUGAUAUAAUAGAUUCAGAGGAAAUAGGAGUAGGUGAAACAGAAAUAGAGGAGGAAUUCAAAGGAGACGAGGUAGGAACUGGAUGUGGGAAAGGAGAAACAAGACGAGUAGAAACAGAAGAAAUGACAGAUGAAAUAGGAAGAGGAGAAUAAAAAGGGAAUAUGUGUUCAUGGAACUUAAUAUUUCGGGAGACAAAGAAUUGUUGUGAUUGUAAACUCAUGACUUUGUGGCCUUUCUUUCCAAAAGGAUAACCAAGGAAUACAUAAGGUGUGGCUCUAGGAUCUAAUUUAUUUCUCCCAUAAGAGAGCGUAGAAGCAAAACACAAACAACCAAACGAUUUUAGGAAGAAGUAAUCUGGUGGUUUAUCAAAUAAUUUCUAGUAAGGAGAAACAUUACCCAAAAUUCUUGAAGGAAAUCGGUUGAUAAGGAGUGUAGUUGUUACCAGACAGUCACCCCAAAAUUUGAUAGGUAAAUUGGACUGAAAUAAUAAAGCCCGACAUAUUUCAAGUAGGUGUUUAUGCUUGCGUUCAACCACACCAUUUUGUUUUGGUGUCGCUACACAAGAGGUUUGAUGGAGAACACCAAGAGAGGAGAAAAAUUGAGAAUGUGUAGUCCCUGACCCAAGCUCAUAAGCAUUAUCAGAUCGGACUUUCUUGAUUUUGACAUCGAAUUGUCGCUCUACCAUGGCAAAGAAUGCUUUGAGGAUAGGAAAAGCAUUUGACUUAGUGGAUAACAAUAAUGUCCAGGUACAUCUUGUAAAAUCAUCAACAAUUGUCAAGAAGUAACGAUGACCAUUAUAAGUAGGCGUAGAAUAUGGACCCCAAGUGUCUAUAUGAAUGAGGUCAAAUUUUUGUUUAGAAGUUAUAUAGCUAGAUGGAAAGGAUAGUUUUGUUUGUCUUGCUUUUGGGCAAAUUACACAGACUUCAUUUUGUUCAGAAUUCAAUUUGUGAGGUAUUCCAGGAAUGUUACUCAUAGCAGGGUAUGGUAAAUGACCCAAACGUUGAUGCCACAAUUUACUCAAAGUGCUACAAUUCAUAGAGCAAACAAUUUUAUUCAUUGAAUUAGCUUCAGUUACAACGUCGCUAGAAAGACGUCCAUCAAAAGGACUUAUAUUGAAAACAUCUGAAAAUAGAGAUUGUGAAGAACUACAUGGGACACUAGGUUCAACAGAAGUAGUGGAAUUGACACUGACAUUGGAAAGACUAGAACUAGAACUGGGAGCUGCAUUGUCCAACACAUAGAAUCCAUCAGUGGUCUCACCAAACACGUGUAGCCUCUUCAGAGAAGGGGCCUGUAUGUAACAACCAAAUUUGCUAAAAAUCAGUAAACAAUCAAGUUGAGUGCACAACUGUUGUACAGAGAUCAAGCUGUGUUUAAAACUUGGUACAUAUAGAACAUUUAUUAAAUCAGAUUAGGAGGAAUAAGCAAUUUUCCAAUGGCAAUAGCUUUAACUUUGUAUCCAUUUGGUAGAUUAACAUAUACAGGUUUUGACAAUUCUUUGGUUUCAUGAAGGAGUGAAAUAUCAUAAGUCAUGUGUUGUGUGACCCUUGUAUCAAGU
This 2848-nucleotide long non-coding RNA is filed under the name Nicotiana tabacum (common tobacco). Its description in RNAcentral is "long non-coding RNA (NTAB_LNC000159)". Lineage: Eukaryota; Viridiplantae; Streptophyta; Magnoliopsida; Solanales; Solanaceae. The record is from RNAcentral.